UACGAAGGGGGCUAGCGUUGUUCGGAAUUACUGGGCGUAAAGCGUGCGCAGGCGGCCUUCCAAGUCAGGGGUGAAAGCCCAGAGCUCAACUCUGGAAUUGCCUUUGAGACUGUGAGGCUUGAGUACGGGAGAGGUGAGUGGAAUUCCCAGUGUAGAGGUGAAAUUCGUAGAUAUCGAGAGGAACACCGGUGGCGAAGGCGGCCUUCUGGACAGUGACUGACGCUGAGACGCGAAAGCGUGGGGAGCAAACAGG
RNAcentral lists this ribosomal RNA (253 nucleotides) under uncultured bacterium. RNAcentral describes it as "partial 16S ribosomal RNA". It matches the Rfam family "Bacterial small subunit ribosomal RNA", at positions 524 to 776 of the family's 1533-position model. The record is from RNAcentral.